UGGGGAAUUUUGGACAAUGGGGGAAACCCUGAUCCAGCCAUCCCGCGUGUGCGAUGAAGGCCUUCGGGUUGUAAAGCACUUUUGGCAGGAAAGAAACGUCGCGGGUUAAUACCCCGCGGAACUGACGGUACCUGCAGAAUAAGCACCGGCUAACUACGUGCCAGCAGCCGCGGUAAUACGUAGGGUGCAAGCGUUAAUCGGAAUUACUGGGCGUAAAGCGUGCGCAGGCGGUUCGGAAGGAAAGAUGUGAAAUCCCAGAGCUUAACUUUGGAACUGCAUUUUUAACUACCGGGCUAGAGUGUGUCAGAGGGAGGUGGAAUUCCGCGUGUAGCAGUGAAAUGCGUAGAUAUGCGGAGGAACACCGAUGGCGAAGGCAGCCUCCUGGGAUAACACUGACGCUCAUGCACGAAAGCGUGGGGAGCAAACAGGAUUAGAUACCCUGGUAGUCCACGCCCUAAACGAUGUCAACUAGCUGUUGGGGUCUUCGGACCUUGGUAGCGCAGCUAACGCGUGAAGUUGACCGCCCGGGGAGUACGGUCGCAAGAUUAAAACUUAAAUGAAUUGACGGGGUCAUAGCUGUUUCCU
This 585-nucleotide ribosomal RNA is filed under the name uncultured bacterium. RNAcentral's name for it is "partial 16S ribosomal RNA". It matches the Rfam family "Bacterial small subunit ribosomal RNA", at positions 355 to 1375 of the family's 1533-position model. The record is from RNAcentral.